GUAAUAGUCCUGUAAGUGAAACGAGAAGACCACGAGUUAUGAUCCAGAGUACCACGAGACACGUGAAACCUUGUGGGAAGCAGGGAGGACCACCUCCCAAGGCUAAAUACUACCUGAUGACCGAUAGUGAAGCAGUACCGUGAGGGAAAGGUGAAAAGAACCCCGGGAGGGGAGUGAAAUAGAACCUGAAACCGUGUGCCUACAACCGCUCAGAGCCCCUUAUGAGGGUGAUGAGGUGCUUUUUGUAGAACGAGCCAACGAGUUACGGUAUGUAGCAAGGUUAAGUACUUAAGGUACGGAGCCGAAGGGAAACCGAGUCUGAAUAGGGCGACUAGUUGCAUGCCGUAGACCCGAAACCGGGUGACCUAUCCAUGGCCAGGUUGAAGCGAGGGUAAAACCUCGUGGAGGACCGAACCACGUUGCUGUUGAAAAAGCAUGGGAUGAGCUGUGGAUAGCGGAGAAAUUCCAAUCGAACCCGGAGAUAGCUGGUUCUCUCCGAAAUAGCUUUAGGGCUAGCGUCGAGUAUGAGUAGUGGAGGUAGAGCACUGAAUGGGCUAGGGGGCAUAGCGCUUACCGAACCUUAUCAAACUCCGAAUGCCACAUACUUUGAGCUCGGCAGUCAGACUACGAAUGAUAAGAUCCGUGGUCAAAAGGGAAACAGCCCAGAUCGUCAGCUAAGGUCCCAAAGUGUAAGUUAAGUGGGAAAGGAUGUGAGAUUUCUAAGACAACUAGGAUGUUGGCUUAGAAGCAGCCAUUCAUUAAAAGAGUGCGUAAUAGCUCACUAGUCGAGAGAUCUUGCGCCGAAAAUGUAACGGGGCUAAACUUACC
This 828-nucleotide ribosomal RNA is filed under the name Clostridium perfringens. Its description in RNAcentral is "partial 23S ribosomal RNA". It matches the Rfam family "Bacterial large subunit ribosomal RNA", at positions 364 to 1192 of the family's 2925-position model. The record is from RNAcentral. Lineage: Bacteria; Bacillati; Bacillota; Clostridia; Eubacteriales; Clostridiaceae.